Grammomys surdaster is the source of this 130-nucleotide small nucleolar RNA. RefSeq annotates it as small nucleolar RNA SNORA17. The record is from RefSeq and is a predicted model, not a curated record. NCBI's taxonomy places the organism in Eukaryota, Metazoa, Chordata, Mammalia, Rodentia, Muridae. The transcript has a single exon.
CCUGCCCUUAGAGGCACUGCAGGUGUGGCUGCUGUGCCACAUGUGUCAGUAGGUGGCAAAGAGGACAGAGGCUAUGUCUAUGAUCAGUGUUCUGACCUAUGAACAUCUGAAUAAUUAUUAGCCUAACACU